Felis catus (domestic cat) is the source of this 1755-nucleotide long non-coding RNA. RefSeq lists it as uncharacterized. The record is from RefSeq and is a predicted model, not a curated record. The transcript has 2 exons. NCBI's taxonomy places the organism in Eukaryota, Metazoa, Chordata, Mammalia, Carnivora, Felidae.
CCUCGUGGAUUUCGGGUUGCUUUGCGCCUCCCGGGAAACCCUACCCGGGCGCCGCGAGCAGCCUGGCGGCGCGGGCGGCUGCGAGCUUCCCGCUCGGCCACUAGGCGCCCAGCCGGGCCCAGGGCGCUCGGCCAGCAAAGCCCGGCAGCAGAGCCGUGCGCCUAGGGCGCGGUGCGCGCCAAGCCACCCUGCGGUGGCGCUCUUCCCUCCCGGGAAGGGCGGCGUUAGCUCGCUUUAAAAUAACCCUGAGUGAGGAGCACUUUGCAGUUUGGAGAUGCAGACAUAAAACAGUGGGUUCCGCGCGCACAGACGGUCUCUCUGCCUCCCCUCUCGCCCCCGGUGGGUAGCAGGGGAGUAACAAAGACGCUGCCGCGCCGCUGACGCCGAACAAUCUCUGAUGCAGGAAGAGGCUUCCCUCUGUCCCCAGAACUUCAACACAGCCCAAGAUGCUGGAACCCAGCCCUGGACGCUAGUCCUUCUCCUGUUCAGAUCCUGAUCGGGUGCCCUUCACUGAAAACCCGUGGAGGAAGGUUUGGGCCUGGACACGAAGUCCCUAAUGAAUUUGGAACCAUGCUAGGGACAGAAAUCUCCGACUGAAUUGCACAGGUAGAGGCUGGUGACUAUCUUUUUUUUCAGUGGCACCUACUUUUACCGUCGGUGUUUUGUCAGGCCAGCAGCGCCCCAGGGAGUAAGGAAGAGGGCAGCCCCAGAUGUGGACCUCCUCACCCGCCCUGGCUGGAUUUUACGAGACUGCCUUCACCAACGUUCCAGCCAAGGACUGCCUGUGCUCGCCUUUCAUACUUCACAGCAGGUGCCCUGAGUGGGGGAAUGGAAUGGUGGUUUGGAAUGUGGGUGCUGGCCCAGGCAACCUUCCCGGAUAAAAAAGGGUUAAAUACUCCCAACCGAGGCGGAGAGAGGCACCCCAGCACGCGAGGGGCACGCCCGCUUUUCGGUCAGGCAGAAAAUGAUGAUCACAGAAUAAGAAAUGUUUAAAUUCACUCGCAACCCAGAAGAGGCUUCCCCAGGAACUUAGACAUGACGUGUUGGGCAAGAGGGAGAAAGUGGCAAAAAGAACCUUGCCUUGCCGGAGGUUGGGCCUCCUGGCGGCUCCCAGCCCUGCCGGGGGAGCCCGAAGGCGUGAGGAGAAUGGCUGUCUUCAGCUCCAAACCAUUAAUAUUAAGACACAUCAGCCUCGCAUUAGUCUGCAGCAGACCAUCAACGACCAAGAACAAACACAAAAGAGAAAUAAAAUAGUUCAUCCGAAGAGUCCUACUGUGAAUGUGUUUAUUUCUUGCUUUACUCAGCCCAGGAUAUAAUUUACUCACUGCCCUCUUGCAAACAAAAGCGCGGCACUGGCCUGGCAAGGUUGAUGAGCCCUUUUCAAAACACCCAAGGAAAUUAAAACUGGGCACGAAUUCAGGGUCCAUUUUAUAUAGAGCCUGUAGCGCCAAUGCGUGCAGUUCUUAACCCCAGAUGAACACGUGACGACGCCAAGAUAUUUCUAUUUGAAAAGGAAGAAGAAGAGGAAAAAGAAGAAGAGGAGGAGGAGGAGGAGGAGGAGGAGGAGGAGGAGGAGGAGGAGGAGGAGGAAGGAGAAGAAGAAGGAGGAGGAGGAGAAAUCUGAUUCCCAGGGAGUAACAGUAACACUCAUAUGCAUUAUUUAUCCGCCUCUUGCUUAAUACUGGCAAGUUACGCACGUUAUCUCAUUUAAUAAAGCAACACUCCAUAUUAUAUAUAAUAUAGCAACGUUGGUUA